CUUUUUCUACCAUGGACCACCAAAAAAAGGCAGAUAUUAUGUGCCAUAAAAGUCACAAAAAUUUCAAAAAAAAAUUGAAUAAAAUCAGUGCCAUAAGGAAAGAAUUUUAGUUUCCUAAAACUCUAUCUCAUAGAAUUUGAAAUCCAAACUAAUUCCUACUUUGACUUGAUCCACAACCACAUUCCAUGUAAAAGAAAAAGAGAGGAAAGUUUUGGGCAUGUGUGAAGACUUGGG
RNAcentral lists this long non-coding RNA (234 nucleotides) under Elaeis guineensis (African oil palm). RNAcentral describes it as "long non-coding RNA (EGUI_LNC080479)". Lineage: Eukaryota; Viridiplantae; Streptophyta; Magnoliopsida; Arecales; Arecaceae. The record is from RNAcentral.